AUUGAACGCUGACGGCAGGCCUAACACAUGCAAGUCGAAUGGUAACAGGAAACAGCUUGCUGUUUCGCUGACGAGUGGCGGACGGGUGAGUAAUGUCUGGGAAACUGCCUGAUGGAGGGGGAUAACUACUGGAAACGGUAGCUAAUACCGCAUAACGUCGCAAGACCAAAGAGGGGGACCUUCGGGCCUCUUGCCAUCAGAUGUGCCCAGAUGGGAUUAGCUAGUAGGUGGGGUAACGGCUCACCUAGGCGACGAUCCCUAGCUGGUCUGAGAGGAUGACCAGCCACACUGGAACUGAGACACGGUCCAGACUCCUACGGGAGGCAGCAGUGGGGAAUAUUGCACAAUGGGCGCAAGCCUGAUGCAGCCAUGCCGCGUGUAUGAAGAAGGCCUUCGGGUUGUAAAGUACUUUCAGCGGGGAGGAAGGGAGUAAAGUUAAUACCUUUGCUCAUUGACGUUACCCGCAGAAGAAGCACCGGCUAACUCCGUG
RNAcentral lists this ribosomal RNA (490 nucleotides) under uncultured bacterium. RNAcentral's name for it is "partial 16S ribosomal RNA". It matches the Rfam family "Bacterial small subunit ribosomal RNA", at positions 30 to 507 of the family's 1533-position model. The record is from RNAcentral.